Molecule: long non-coding RNA, 1221 nt
Filed under: Zonotrichia albicollis (white-throated sparrow)
Lineage: Eukaryota; Metazoa; Chordata; Aves; Passeriformes; Passerellidae
Description: lncRNA (ENSZALG00000010277.1)
Source: RNAcentral
AUGGAUCAGAUCCCGCCCGGCCGCGAUCCCCUUGGCCCUGGGCACCUCCUGCGGCCCCCGCGGAGCUGCGCCCGCUGCCUGCAGCCCUCCCACCGUGCCGUGAGCAUCCCUGGCUGUCAGCACCCCGGGUAUCCCUGGCGACUCCCGGCACGCAGCCCGCGGCCAGACCCGCUCCCCUUACCUGGGCUGCUGCGGUCUCCCCGGGCUGCGCGGCUCUGCCCCGCUCCCCGCUCCCCGCUCCAGCACGGAGAUGUGCUGUCUGACACCAACCCAUGCGCCAGCUCCCAGCCUCAGUCAGCUGAUCCCGCUGCCUGUUGUGUUGCUGCUGCUAAAUAUAUCCCGCUGGCUGCCUGCCCUGCCGAGCCGCAGCCGCCGGGCGCCCAGGCAGGCACCGGGGCAGCCCGCGGGCACCGGCCGGGAAUGGCCAUCCCACACCCCAAAUCCCAAAUCCCACAUCCCUGUGGCUCAUUGCCCGCCGGGAAUGGCCAUCCCAAAUCCCUGUGCCUCUUUGCCGGCCGGGAAUGGCCAUCUCACAUGCCAAAUCCCACAUCUCUGUGGCUCAUCUCCCGGCCGGGAAUGGCCAUCCCAAAUCCCAAAUCCCUGCAGCUCAUCGCCCGCUGGGAAUGGCCAUCCCGCAUCCCAAAUUCCUGUGGCUCAUUGCCCGGCUGGGAAUGGCCAUCCCAAAUCCCAAAUCCCUGUGGCUCGUCUCCUGGCCGGGAAUGGCCAUCCCACAUCCCAAAUCCCAAAUCCCUGUGGCUCAUCACCCACUGGGAAUGGCCAUCCCACAUCUCACAUCCCUGUGGCUCAUCUCCUGGCCGGGAAUGGCCAUCCCACAUUCCAGAUCCCUGCAGUUCAUUGCCUGGUGACCACUCCCGGCGCAGAAGGGACCGCGGAGCUGCGGCCGUGCUGCAGGAGGGGAAGGGCUGCCCAUGCUCCAGGCUGGGUGGGAAAAGAGGAGAUGUAGCUCCUUCAUGCUUUAGUGCUAGAAGGGGAAUCCUUAGGGAUUGGGGCUGUUUUUCUUCCUUCUCUGCCUUAUUUUGUGAACAAAUUUGUGCUGGUUUUCCCAAGAGGUUGUGGGUGUUUGCAGCUUCUUUAGCGCUGCUCUCUGCUCUCUUCUGUCCCUGCUUCCAUUCUGCUCUGAGCAGAGCAUCCCUAGGCCAAGCUGUGCCUCCCUGGGCUGAACCACACAUCCCUGGACUGAGCCACACAUCCCUGGGCUGA